GCUCAGGACGAACGCUGGCGGCGUGCUUAACACAUGCAAGUCGAACGAACUCGGGCUUCGGCCCACAUGAGUGAGUGGCGAACGGGUGAGUAACGCGUGAGAAACCUGCCCCGAAGUCGGGAAUAACUCAGGGAAACUUGAGCUAAUACCGGAUGCCCUCGUCUGGUCGCAUGAUCGGAUGAGGAAAGAUUUAUCGCUUCGGGAGGGUCUCGCGACCUAUCAGCUAGUUGGUGAGGUAAUGGCUCACCAAGGCAUCGACGGGUAGCUGGUUUGAGAGAACGAUCAGCCACAUUGGAACUGAGACACGGUCCAAACUCCUACGGGAGGCAGCAGUGGGGAAUCUUGCACAAUGGGCGAAAGCCUGAUGCAGCGACGCCGCGUGGGGGAUGAAGGCCCUAGGGUCGUAAACCCCUUUCAGUAGGGACGAAAAUGACGGUACCUACAGAAGAAGCUCCGGCCAACUACGUGCCAGCAGCCGCGGUAAGACGUAGGGGGCGAGCGUUGUCCGGAUUUAUUGGGCGUAAAGGGCUCGUAGGCGGUUACGUAAGUCGGAUGUGAAAACUCCAGGCUCAACUUGGAGACGCCAUCCGAUACUGCGUUGACUUGAGUCCGGUAGAGGAGUGUGGAAUUCCUAGUGUAGCGGUGGAAUGCGCAGAUAUUAGGAGGAACACCUAUUGCGAAGGCAGCACUCUGGGCCGGUACUGACGCUGAGGAGCGAAAGCAUGGGUAGCAAACAGGAUUAGAUACCCUGGUAGUCCAUGCCGUAAACGGUGGGCACUAGAUGUGGGGACUUUCAACGGUUUCCGUGUCGUAGCUAACGCAUUAAGUGCCCCGCCUGGGGAGUACGGCCGCAAGGCUAAAACUCAAA
Molecule: ribosomal RNA, 868 nt
Filed under: uncultured marine bacterium
Lineage: Bacteria
Description: bacterial SSU rRNA
Rfam family: Bacterial small subunit ribosomal RNA
Source: RNAcentral